Molecule: ribosomal RNA, 848 nt
Filed under: Bacillus subtilis
Lineage: Bacteria; Bacillati; Bacillota; Bacilli; Caryophanales; Bacillaceae
Description: bacterial SSU rRNA
Rfam family: Bacterial small subunit ribosomal RNA
Source: RNAcentral
UGCCUAAUACAUGCAAGUCGAGCGGACAGAUGGGAGCUUGCUCCCUGAUGUUAGCGGCGGACGGGUGAGUAACACGUGGGUAACCUGCCUGUAAGACUGGGAUAACUCCGGGAAACCGGGGCUAAUACCGGAUGCUUGUUUGAACCGCAUGGUUCAAACAUAAAAGGUGGCUUCGGCUACCACUUACAGAUGGACCCGCGGCGCAUUAGCUAGUUGGUGAGGUAAUGGCUCACCAAGGCGACGAUGCGUAGCCGACCUGAGAGGGUGAUCGGCCACACUGGGACUGAGACACGGCCCAGACUCCUACGGGAGGCAGCAGUAGGGAAUCUUCCGCAAUGGACGAAAGUCUGACGGAGCAACGCCGCGUGAGUGAUGAAGGUUUUCGGAUCGUAAAGCUCUGUUGUUAGGGAAGAACAAGUACCGUUCGAAUAGGGCGGUACCUUGACGGUACCUAACCAGAAAGCCACGGCUAACUACGUGCCAGCAGCCGCGGUAAUACGUAGGUGGCAAGCGUUGUCCGGAAUUAUUGGGCGUAAAGGGCUCGCAGGCGGUUUCUUAAGUCUGAUGUGAAAGCCCCCGGCUCAACCGGGGAGGGUCAUUGGAAACUGGGGAACUUGAGUGCAGAAGAGGAGAGUGGAAUUCCACGUGUAGCGGUGAAAUGCGUAGAGAUGUGGAGGAACACCAGUGGCGAAGGCGACUCUCUGGUCUGUAACUGACGCUGAGGAGCGAAAGCGUGGGGAGCGAACAGGAUUAGAUACCCUGGUAGUCCACGCCGUAAACGAUGAGUGCUAAGUGUUAGGGGGUUUCCGCCCCUUAGUGCUGCAGCUAACGCAUUAAGCACUCCGCCU